CUAGCUCGAUUUGUGAAUGUGCCCUUUGUCAUCGCUGAUGCAACAACUUUGACACAGGUGCAUCACUUUUCCAACUGUGGGGUAAGAUGGUGCUUUUAAUUUCUGGGACAAAGACAGUAAACAGAGACGCAAGUUGUGUCAAGAAGCGUUGCUGCAAGAUGGGUAUAGGAAAGAUUGAGAUCAAGAUGAUCGAGAACGUACACUACCAAUCGUCAAGUCACUUUCUGCAAGCGGAGAAAUGAACUCUUGAAGAAAGCUUGUGCUGUUGCUUGCUUGGUAUGCACCAAGGCUUGUGCUGUUACUUGUGCUAUUAGCUUGUGCUGUUACUUGCUUGCUUGGUAUGACACCAAGGCUUCUGAAGUGUAACUGUUAGUAGCAUUCUCUUUCAAUAAUCGUGAGCCAUGACUGGAUACAAAACAGAGGUGGCUGUGAUUGGCCUUUUAUAGUUUAAGAUUAUGUUUAUAGUUUACAUGUUUUGUUUAGCCCGUUAUUUUCUCUAAAAUUCUUUCAAACAAAAUUCAGUAUACUUCAUAAUUAGUUCUGGAUUUAUUUUGGCCAAAUAGUUAUGCUUGGUUGAGCUGAUCUUUUCUCCAAUAGUUCAGCUUCAUCUGUUUAUAGUCCAACAACAGUAAGUUGGCUUUCAUUUUGUAACUUGGUGUCUUCGAU
This is a long non-coding RNA of Juglans microcarpa x Juglans regia, 666 nucleotides long. RefSeq lists it as uncharacterized. The record is from RefSeq and is a predicted model, not a curated record. The transcript is spliced from 3 exons. Lineage: Eukaryota; Viridiplantae; Streptophyta; Magnoliopsida; Fagales; Juglandaceae.